RNAcentral lists this long non-coding RNA (220 nucleotides) under Cicer arietinum (chickpea). Its description in RNAcentral is "long non-coding RNA (CARI_LNC002450)". Lineage: Eukaryota; Viridiplantae; Streptophyta; Magnoliopsida; Fabales; Fabaceae. The record is from RNAcentral.
CCUUCUCAACAAUUUCAUGAUGUUCACAUAUCUUUGACAGUUAUCAAACUUCAUCUAGUUUCAUCGUGAAAUCUACCAGGAAAAAAUCUAAUACUUUUCUUACAAAAGUCCUCCACUUAGAUCUUUACUUGAAAUGCGUUAUUAGUCUAAUGUUAAUCCAUCCAUACUCAUCAUCUUCGAGUUAACACCAACACAUAGGUUUUCUGUCCUUGGAACCCNN